AGCCGACCUACAGCAGUGAAUCUUUCAGAUGCAGUAACGAAACUUAAAGAAGUUAUAUCUAAGACUGCUGCUACUGCUUCAGAAUCCAAGGAUGUUUUUCAGGCUUACAUAGAAGCUGCUGAAAUUAUGCUUGAAGAUGAUGUUGCUUCAAACAAAGCAAUUGGGUCUCAUGGAGCAACUUUUAUUCAGAAUCAACUGAAAAACUCUGACUGGCUUUCUAUUCUGACCCAUUGCAAUACUGGCAGCCUUGCAACAGCUGGGUAUGGUACUGCUCUAGGAGUGAUUCGUGCACUUCAUACUGAAGGAGUGUUAGAGAGGGCCUACUGCACAGAAACGCGUCCUUUCAAUCAAGGAUCUAGACUCACAGCUUUUGAGUUGGUGCAUGACAAAAUACCUGCUACUCUUAUAGCGGACUCUGCUGCAGCUACAUUAAUGAAAGAUGGUCGAGUGAGUGCUGUAAUUGUUGGAGCAGAUCGUGUGGCUGCAAAUGGAGAUACUGCUAACAAGAUUGGGACCUACAGCCUAGCCUUAUGUGCAAUGCAUCAUAACAUUCCAUUCUAUGUUGCUGCACCGCUGACCUCCAUUGAUUUAUCCCUUUCUUCUGGGAAACAAAUUAUUAUAGAGGAAAGAUCACCUAAAGAAUUAUUAAAUUCACGUGGAGGACUUGGAGAGCAAGUUGCUGCACCUGGGAUUUCUGUCUGGAACCCAGCUUUUGAUGUUACCCCUGCAAAAUUGAUAAGUGGUAUCAUAACAGAAAAGGGGGUCAUCACUAAGAUAAAAAAUGAUGAUUUUGACAUUGAGAAUUUUGUAAAAGGGGCAGCUGGGCAGUCUGUUGCAUAGGAGAGACAUCUGCUGCUGAGCAGAAUGGAUGGUAUGCCAAAGUGGUCAGCAUUUUUAUCAGCACGUCAUAUAGCUGCUAAUAUCAAGGGCAUAUACCCUUUGAAAGAAUGCUGGAAUAAGCCUUCUGUGAUGUCUUGAGUGUUAUUGUAAUAAUUGUAACUUGCUUGUAAAGCCAAGACCUUUUGUUGGGUAUUUUUGGCGAAGAUAAUAAGGGUGCCCAUUUUGCUCUC
Molecule: unclassified non-coding RNA, 1070 nt
Filed under: Hevea brasiliensis (rubber tree)
Lineage: Eukaryota; Viridiplantae; Streptophyta; Magnoliopsida; Malpighiales; Euphorbiaceae
Source: RNAcentral